UGCAGUCUGACUGGAUUCAUGCCUGC
RNAcentral lists this non-coding RNA (26 nucleotides) under Homo sapiens (human). The record is from RNAcentral. Lineage: Eukaryota; Metazoa; Chordata; Mammalia; Primates; Hominidae.